AGCUCCAAUAGCGUAUAUUAAAGUUGCUGCAGUUAAAAAGCUCGUAGUUGCAUUUCCGAGGCAAGGGAUUAGUCCGACCUUUGGUGGGUAUUUAAUCCUCUUGCCUCGUCCUUGAGUGGUGCUUCUUGGUAUUAAGUUAUCGAGGAGAUAGCCGCUCAUCGUUUACUGUGAGAAAAUUAGAGUGUUCAAAGCAGGCUUAUGCCGUUGAAUAUAUUAGCAUGGAAUAAUAAGAUAGGACCUCGGUACUAUUUUGUUGGUUUGAGAACCAAGGUAAUGAUGAAUAGGGACAGUUGGGGGUAUUCGUAUUCAGUUGUCAGAGGUGAAAUUCUUAGAUUUACGGAAGACGAACUACUGCGAAAGCAUUUGCCAAGAGUGUUUUCA
RNAcentral lists this ribosomal RNA (381 nucleotides) under uncultured marine Chaetocerotaceae. RNAcentral's name for it is "SSU rRNA". It matches the Rfam family "Eukaryotic small subunit ribosomal RNA", at positions 587 to 972 of the family's 1831-position model. The record is from RNAcentral. Lineage: Eukaryota; Bacillariophyta; Thalassiosirophyceae; Chaetocerotales; Chaetocerotaceae.